This 218-nucleotide long non-coding RNA is filed under the name Nicotiana benthamiana. RNAcentral describes it as "long non-coding RNA (NBEN_LNC032463)". Lineage: Eukaryota; Viridiplantae; Streptophyta; Magnoliopsida; Solanales; Solanaceae. The record is from RNAcentral.
AAGCCCGCUUGCGGCGCGUAAGCGCUGAUGACGUUGAGGACGCAACCCCAAUAACCAACUUAAUAGACAUUAACAUAUCAUUCACUCGCCUAACCUCUUCCACGGACUCCCUUAGAUCCCUAUCUACCAAGAUGCCCACUCCAUUCUUACCUCUCACGACCCCAGAAUACCACAGCUUAAACCUGUCUGCGUUCCUCACCUUCGACCCUUUCCACCUA